RNAcentral lists this ribosomal RNA (403 nucleotides) under uncultured bacterium. RNAcentral describes it as "partial 16S ribosomal RNA". It matches the Rfam family "Bacterial small subunit ribosomal RNA", at positions 29 to 526 of the family's 1533-position model. The record is from RNAcentral.
AAUGAACGCUGGCGGCAGGCCUCACACAUGCCAAUCGAGCGAGCGGCGGCCGGGUGCGUAAUGUCUGGGGAAUGCCCGAUGGAGGGGGAUAACUACUGGAAACAGUAGCUAAUACAGCAUACUGUCGGAUAACCCAUAUGGGAUUAGCUAGUAGGUGGGGUAAUGGCUCACCUAGGCGACGAUCCCUAGCUGGUCUGAGAGGAUGAUCAGCCACACUGGGACUGAGACACGGCCCAGACUCCUACGGAGGCAGCAGUGGGGAAUAUUGCACAAUGGGCGCAAGCCUGAUGCAGCCAUGCCGCGUGUAUGAAGAAGGCCCUAGGGUUGUAAAGUACUUUCAGUCGGGAGGCGUUACCGACAGAAGAAGCACCGGCUAACUCCGUGCCAGCAGCCGCGGUAAUAC